This 225-nucleotide ribosomal RNA is filed under the name uncultured Enterobacterales bacterium. RNAcentral describes it as "partial 16S ribosomal RNA". It matches the Rfam family "Bacterial small subunit ribosomal RNA", at positions 105 to 334 of the family's 1533-position model. The record is from RNAcentral. Lineage: Bacteria; Pseudomonadati; Pseudomonadota; Gammaproteobacteria; Enterobacterales.
GGUGAGUAAUGUCUGGGAAACUGCCUGAUGGAGGGGGAUAACUACUGGAAACGGUAGCUAAUACCGCAUAAUGUCGCAAGACCAAAGAGGGGACCUUCGGGCCUCUUGCCAUCAGAUGUGCCCAGAUGGGAUUAGCUUGUUGGUGGGGUAACGGCUCACCAAGGCGACGAUCCCUAGCUGGUCUGAGAGGAUGACCAGCCACACUGGAACUGAGACACGGUCCAG